AGCGCCCCUCAGCUCACAGUCCCAGCGGCCCGGCUCGGCCGGCCCCUCCCGACCAAGUCUCGUAAUGAUGAAACUCCUGCUCUGGUCCGAGCUACCGGUGAACAGCGCCCAGCGGGCCGGGCCCCAACCUCGCUCCUGAGCCUGAACAUCCCCCCAACCCCGCCGUGAGAAUUCAGCGAAGAGUAAAAGCUGGAAAAAGUUGCGUGUCUCAGGCUAAGCAGAAGAAAGUGGGGUGACGGCUCCCCCGCUAGGAAGAGAGAUGCCCUUAGGGAGCCCCCUGAUGGAAGAGCUCUCCGCUUAAGAAGGUCACCACUCCCUUACACUCAGUUUUACCACAUGCUUCUCAAGACCCAAGGCACAAUAGGCAUAAAGUUGUCCCGAAAAGGACAAGAGGAGUGUUAGAAGUAGGAAUGGCAGUCGAAGGAGCUU
RNAcentral lists this long non-coding RNA (429 nucleotides) under Pongo abelii (Sumatran orangutan). RNAcentral describes it as "lincRNA". The record is from RNAcentral. Lineage: Eukaryota; Metazoa; Chordata; Mammalia; Primates; Hominidae.